Molecule: long non-coding RNA, 4058 nt
Organism: Astatotilapia calliptera (eastern happy)
Lineage: Eukaryota; Metazoa; Chordata; Actinopteri; Cichliformes; Cichlidae
Source: Ensembl
UUUUAAUUUUCCACUCGGACAGAGAGAGCUCUGUCGAUACACUGCGAUCGAGGUGAAACAGGGGAAGGAAAAACAAACGAACAAAUAAUGCCUGUACAUUUUAAAGAUCUUUAACAUUUAACCGCUGUCUGACACGGUGAGUCCGUUGAGUUUCCGUCGAAACUUGUAAACAAGUGCUGAACAACAGUGUAGUAGUGUAACACGUCAGCAACUGAGAGCAGGGACGGGAAGGGGCUGGUCUCUGUGCAGUGCUGCACACGCGUUGCACACUAACGUUACAACACACAUCUGUCCCUGCCGGUGGAGAGUGUGCAGAAGAGUCGUGCAGGUCUGAAAGCAAGUGUGUGGGUGUGUGUGUACUGGCCAGGGCGACGGCCAAUAGGCAUGCAAUCAGCAUUGUUAUGGCAGGAUGUCAACUGUCAAAGCUGGGGGAACUGAAGAUGAAUGCCUCCCCCCUCCUUGUUUAACAUGGAGAAACCUCAGUGUUGGCUGGUUUGUUUUUUGGUUUUGUUUUAGGGUUUGUUUGUUUUUGUUUUUUUGUAAUUUCUUUUGUUUGUUUGCUUUUAGUCUAGUGUUUUGUUUUGUUUUGUUUUGUGGGGGGGGUUGUUUUGUUUUUUUGGAAGAGGAUCUACACAGCAUCCGAAACAUAUCAACCUUCCUGAAGAUUGGGAAGGACGCUGUUGAAGCACUGAAUAGAAACACUAAAUUUUUUUGGCACUUAAUUAAAAGUUACUUCCUCUAAAAGCAGUCGAUGUAGCAGUGUGCAAUUAGGUUUAAUUUACUUUUUUGCUCCUUUUUUUUUUCUUUUUUCUUUUUUUAACUACCUGUGUGUAAAUAAAAAAAAUAUAUAUAUAUAAAUAUAUAAACAUAUAUUAUUUCUCUCCAUAUGUAGCACAUAAGACAUUAUGAUUUAAAAAGAAAUCCUUUAUGUAAAACGGUGUGAAUUUUGAUUUGACUUGAAUUGCAAUGUUUGAUAAAUGUUUCCAAAAUGCUGUUCUCUUGUUUUAAUUUUUUUUCUUUUUUCUUUUUUUUUUGGGGGGGGGGGGGGUGUUGACACAGUCCCUAAUUGCUACAUUUAAAACAAAAAAUUUUGGCUUCUUACGGUUUCUUAAUAGUGUUUCUUCCCUCGUCAUCUUCCUAACUCAGCAUUGAAGAAUGGUACAAAUGUAGCGUUUUUUUGAUUUUUAAUAAUUUUUUCCCCCCUUUUUCUGCUAAGUCUAGUGUCACCAAGUGUAAAUUCUCCUAUACGAUCUAGUUUAACAGGAAGAAGUGUAAUAUUUGUGUAAGGACAGUCUUUAAGUCCCUUGAUAUUUAUUUUGUAAUUGAGGUGCUUUUAGCAUCAGCUUAAUCCUGGAAUAAGAUUUUUUUUUUUUUUUUUUUCCCCUCCCACGCUCUGGAGUUGCGAGGUACUCAGAUAUUGAAGGACAAAGACUAUACAAACUGCACAGGUUGAGUUCUCUUUGACUGUUCCUAUUGUUUGAUGAACAUUAAGGCUUGUGAGGGGUUUUGUUUGUUUUUGGGUUUUUUUUGGUUUUUUUGUUAAAGGGUUGAAUGUCCUACAAUACCAAAUACAUGGUUGCAUCAAUAUAUUUGCCAGCACUGCUUGUGCUCUUCAAUUGACUUCACAUUGUGUUACUUUGUGAUAACCGAGAGAUGUUUGUACUUUUCUCAUCAAUGUUGUUAGCCUGCUGAGGAUGCACAUGAGCAUCUAAAAGCUUCCCUUUAUUUGCCUGAAGUGUGGUUUUUUUUUUUUUUUUUUUUUUUUUUUUGAAAAAGACCAGGGUACACCUAAAUGGAGACAGAAAACAGCUCGUCUCUGGAAUGCAGUCACCAUGCCUGUGUAUUAUGUAAAUCUUUGCAAUGUACCUUUGUACAUAAUUUUGUAAAAACACUGAGAAAUAUACUAACUUAUUUAUGUCAAGCCUUUUUUUUUUUUUUUUUUUUAUGUAGAAUAAAAAAAUAUGGGUUUUUGAUUACGGUUAUCCAAAGUGGCAUUUACUUUAUUAUAAUUGUUUUAUUUUGUAAAACCAUAUUUUUGGUAGUGUUUUGUUUUGUUUCUUUUCUUAUAAAGGUUGCAAACUGAGCCUGGUAAAAUAUUUUGAUGUGCAUUUUUUUAAUGUGUGGUUAUAAAAUGUAUUGCAAUCAAUUAAAAAAGAAAAAAAUGAGUUGUGGUUCCUUCUUACACUCGGUGUAAAUUACACACUUGGUUUGUAGAAAAAUAGGAUGAAAAUAGUUUUUGCUUUGUUCAUUCCCCAAAUCAUUGGGACGUACAAAGUAUUUGCAACAGCUGUGUGGGUGGACUUCCUGGAAUAAUACAGUGACACUCCCAAUAUAAUUCCAUCAGCACUAUGAGCAGCAGGUUGACACUUUAGUCAUCCAAUCAAAAAGACAGUGGGGAAAGCAGACCACUCGCUGCAGCCAGUAACAUUUAGUAAUUUAUGGGUAAGGCUUUCAUUUGCUUUUAAUCUCAGUACAAGAGUCUUUUGAAUGCAAAGUAAAACAAGGCAAGUCAGGUUUUUUGUUUUGUUAGGCUUUUUUUUAUUUUUAUUUUUUUUUUACCAUUUGUUUUUUCUUUUUCACUAUUUACAUGGGCUUAGUUGCAUCUGUCUGUGUCUAUAAAAAGUGUGUGUGUGUAAGAAAAUAAGGGAGUGUGUAACUGGAAGACCCAGAGUGAUUUUUUUUAAAAACUUUUCUUUCAUACAUGUGUCUUCUAUAAUAUAUCAAAUUCAUCAAAAUUUUAUUUUUAUAAAUUUUUAUUUAAUUCAAGUAAUUUUUUUGAAUGUGUACAAUGCAAUGUGCACACAAGCUCAGUAUUGUACUUAUAUACAUUUUAAUCUUCGAACUGAAAAAUCAUAAUUAUGUCUUUUAUAUGUUUAAAAUUAAUUCACAUAGGUAUUGAUUUGGUUUGACCCUUAAUCAGUCAAAAUUAUAAUUUGCAUUUUUUUUUUUGUAAUUAAAUCACCUACAGUAAUCCACUUGAAACAUGAAAAAGAUCAAAUAAAGGAUGAAUUAGUAAAUGAAAGGUGUUCUUACAGGUGCUAUCAGGCAACACAUAUGUGCCAUUGUACACCAACUUUCAUCCAGUACUUGAUAAUAAUAGUAAUAAUAAUAUAAAGAGAAUUCCUCAGAGUAAGUGUUGUUCAAUCUGGCUGUCGUGAGUCUGAAACUCAGUAGAAAACUGACUCAGUGAUGCUACUUCAAAUAAAUUGGUGUUUCUAUUAAACAGAAGUGUCUUAAUGUUGUACUUUUCAGCUUUCUUGUCACUCUGAGUGAUGUAUGCUAAAAGUGGAGCCCUAACCUGUGCUGAGAUGCUCUUUGACCUCUAGUAACUUCACUAAAUGUUUUCACUGCACAGAAUUUCCCAACUUCCUUCUUGUAUGAGCAGCACAGGAAGACACCUGUGCUUAGAGCAUUUUAAAGCUGGAUGGGUGGAGGCUGUGCAUUUGAGUGUGCCCAAGAGAUGGUGGGGGUGUGAGUGGUGUGGUACGGUAAAAGUGUGUGGGGGAUGGGUCCACUCCUGAAGUGUGCAGGUGGGUAACCUCAGCUCAGCCAUGCACCCCCACUCUGAGCUUGUCCCAUUGUCCCAGUGUGUGGGCUUUUGUGUGGACAGCCAUUGUAAGAGCCCAGGGCUGGCCACUGUUGUGUCUGGGGCUUCUCUGCUCAAACAAAGGCCCCGUCUAUGAGCCUCCACCCUACCCAAACAGCAGACUGACUGACUGACUUGGUGUCUGACUGACAGACUAGGUGGCUGACUAACUGACUGAAUGGCUGACUGGGUGCCUGAUUGGUUGAGUGAUUGAUUGGAUGGAGCAGAAGAGUGGAAGUACUGUGUUUCAGGCAAUCUGUAAUACUCAGUGUACAUCAGUGUCACUUAUAUACGUGAUACUGUUAAAUGUAUGAUGAAUGAAAUACCAAAUAAGUUUUUUACUAUCAUAAUAUGUAUAAAAUGCAUUAGCUUUAAUGGGAUUUUGACAGUUAGGGUGAUCAUUUAAAAACAAAGUGCUAUAAGUUGUGAAAUGACGCAGGCUGAUGAGGCACUCAAGGGACAUGUUCUGAAA